CGCGUAGGUGGUUUGAUAAGGGUGUGGUGAAAGCCCGGGGCUCAACCCCGGGUCGGCCGUGCCGACUGUCAGACUGGAGUACCGUAGGGGCAGGCGGAAUUCCGGGUGUAGCGGUGGAAUGCGUAGAGAUCUGGAGGAAGACCGGUGGCGAAGGCGGCCUGCUGGGCAGUUACUGACACUGAGGCGCGACGGCGUGGGGAGCAAACA
RNAcentral lists this ribosomal RNA (207 nucleotides) under uncultured bacterium. Its description in RNAcentral is "partial 16S ribosomal RNA". It matches the Rfam family "Bacterial small subunit ribosomal RNA", at positions 568 to 774 of the family's 1533-position model. The record is from RNAcentral.